UUGAACGCUGGCGGCAUGCUUUACCCAUGCCAGUCGAACGGUAACAGGCCGCAAGGUGCUGACGAGUGGCGAACGGGUGAGUAAUGCAUCGGAACGUGCCCAGUCGUGGGGGAUAACUACUCGAAAGAGUAGCUAAUACCGCAUACGAUCUAUGGAUGAAAGCGGGGGACCGUAAGGCCUCGCGCGAUUGGAGCGGCCGAUGUCAGAUUAGGUAGUUGGUGGGGUAAAGGCUCACCAAGCCAACGAUCUGUAGCUGGUCUGAGAGGACGACCAGCCACACUGGGACUGAGACACGGCCCAGACUCCUACGGGAGGCAGCAGUGGGGAAUUUUGGACAAUGGGCGCAAGCCUGAUCCAGCAAUGCCGCGUGCAGGAAGAAGGCCUUCGGGUUGUAAACUGCUUUUGUACGGAACGAAACGGCUCUGGUUAAUACCCGGGGCUAAUGACGGUACCGUAAGAAUAAGCACCGGCUAACUACGUG
Molecule: ribosomal RNA, 481 nt
Filed under: uncultured bacterium
Lineage: Bacteria
Description: partial 16S ribosomal RNA
Rfam family: Bacterial small subunit ribosomal RNA
Source: RNAcentral